GACGAACGCUGGCGGCGUGCUUAACACAUGCAAGUCGAACGAUGAAGCGGUGCUUGCACCGUGGAUUAGUGGCGAACGGGUGAGUAAUACGUGAGUGACCUACCUUUGACUCUGGGAUAAGCCUGGGAAACUGGGUCUAAUACCGGAUACGACCAAUCUCUGCAUGGGGUGUUGGUGGAAGGCGUUAUGGAGUGGUUUUAGAUGGGCUCACGGCCUAUCAGCUUGUUGGUGAGGUAAUGGCUUACCAAGGCGACGACGGGUAGCCGGCCUGAGAGGGUGACCGGCCACACUGGGACUGAGACACGGCCCAGACUCCUACGGGAGGCAGCAGUGGGGAAUAUUGCACAAUGGGCGCAAGCCUGAUGCAGCGACGCCGCGUGAGGGAUGACGGCCUUCGGGUUGUAAACCUCUGUUAGCAUCGAAGAAGCGAAAGUGACGGUAGGUGCAGAGAAAGCGCCGGCUAACUACGUG
Molecule: ribosomal RNA, 471 nt
Filed under: uncultured bacterium
Lineage: Bacteria
Description: partial 16S ribosomal RNA
Rfam family: Bacterial small subunit ribosomal RNA
Source: RNAcentral